Molecule: ribosomal RNA, 497 nt
Filed under: uncultured bacterium
Lineage: Bacteria
Description: partial 16S ribosomal RNA
Rfam family: Bacterial small subunit ribosomal RNA
Source: RNAcentral
GAUGAACGCUGGCGGCGUGCCUAAUACAUGCAAGUCGAGCGAACAGAUAAGGAGCUUGCUCCUUUGACGUUAGCGGCGGACGGGUGAGUAACACGUGGGUAACCUACCUAUAAGACUGGGAUAACUUCGGGAAACCGGAGCUAAUACCGGAUAACAUUUGGAACCGCAUGGUUCUAAAGUGAAAGAUGGUUUUGCUAUCACUUAUAGAUGGACCCGCGCCGUAUUAGCUAGUUGGUAAGGUAACGGCUUACCAAGGCGACGAUACGUAGCCGACCUGAGAGGGUGAUCGGCCACACUGGAACUGAGACACGGUCCAGACUCCUACGGGAGGCAGCAGUAGGGAAUCUUCCGCAAUGGGCGAAAGCCUGACGGAGCAACGCCGCGUGAGUGAUGAAGGGUUUCGGCUCGUAAAACUCUGUUAUUAGGGAAGAACAAACGUGUAAGUAACUGUGCACGUCUUGACGGUACCUAACCAGAAAGCCACGGCUAACUACGUG